CAGUAGGGAAUCUUGCGCAAUGGGCGAAAGCCUGACGCAGCCAUGCCGCGUGAAUGAUGAAGGUCUUAGGAUUGUAAAAUUCUUUCACCGGGGAAGAUAAUGACGGUACCCGGAGAAGAAGCCCCGGCUAACUUCGUGCCAGCAGCCGCGGUAAUACGAAGGGGGCUAGCGUUGCUCGGAAUUACUGGGCGUAAAGGGCGCGUAGGCGGAUAUUUAAGUUGGGGGUGAAAUCCCGGGGCUCAACCUCGGAAUUGCCUUCAAAACUGGAUAUCUUGAGUUCGGGAGAGGUGAGUGGAACUCCGAGUGUAGAGGUGAAAUUCGUAGAUAUUCGGAAGAACACCAGUGGCGAAGGCGACUCACUGGCCCGAUACUGACGCUGAGGCGCGAAAGCGUGGGGAGCAAACAGGAUUAGA
This 413-nucleotide ribosomal RNA is filed under the name uncultured bacterium. RNAcentral's name for it is "bacterial SSU rRNA". It matches the Rfam family "Bacterial small subunit ribosomal RNA", at positions 352 to 782 of the family's 1533-position model. The record is from RNAcentral.